Lentinula raphanica is the source of this 84-nucleotide non-coding RNA. The record is from the annotation of a GenBank genome assembly. NCBI's taxonomy places the organism in Eukaryota, Fungi, Basidiomycota, Agaricomycetes, Agaricales, Omphalotaceae.
GGUCUAAUAGUGUAGAGGUUAGCACAUGGGAUUUUGAUACUGUUGCAUAUUCCCAUAACCCAGGUUCGAGUCCUGGUUAGACCU